Small nuclear RNA from Suncus etruscus (white-toothed pygmy shrew), 108 nucleotides. The record is from RefSeq and is a predicted model, not a curated record. NCBI's taxonomy places the organism in Eukaryota, Metazoa, Chordata, Mammalia, Eulipotyphla, Soricidae.
GUGUUCGCUUAGGCAGCACAUAUAUUAAAAUUGUAACGAUACAGGGAAGAUCAGCAUGGCCCCUGCGCAAGAAUGAUUUUGAAAAGCAGAUGGAAAUUUGGGAGUUCC